UGUGUAGGCGGUUCUUUAAGUUUGGUGUGAAAUCUCCCGGCUUAACCGGGAGGGUGCGCCGAAUACUGAGGGACUAGAGUACGGGAGAGGAAAGUGGAGUUCCUGGUGUAGCGGUGAAAUGCGUAGAUAUCAGGAGGAACACCGGUGGUGUAGACGGCUUUCUGGACCGACACUGACGCUGAAACACGAAAGCGUGGGUAGCAAACAGGAUUAGAUACCCUGGUAGUCCACGCCCUAAACGAUGCAUAUUUGGUGUGGGCAGUUCAUUCUGUCCGUGCCGGAGCUAACGCGUUAAAUAUGCCGCCUGGGGAGUACAGUCGCAAGGCUGAA
This 330-nucleotide ribosomal RNA is filed under the name uncultured bacterium. RNAcentral's name for it is "bacterial SSU rRNA". It matches the Rfam family "Bacterial small subunit ribosomal RNA", at positions 568 to 898 of the family's 1533-position model. The record is from RNAcentral.